UCUCCCAUAGCUUAGUUGGUAGAGCGCAAUGCUUAUAUCUGAGGCAUUCACCUGUUGAAGCCCAUAUACUUCAAUCAAACGCUCUGAUGUGAGAGUAACAACUCGAUCUUGAGAGACAGAGAGAGACGUUGAUGUCACGGGUUCGAGUCCCGUUGGGAGAA
This 161-nucleotide transfer RNA is filed under the name Phakopsora pachyrhizi. RNAcentral's name for it is "tRNA-Ile". It matches the Rfam family "tRNA". Rfam says of the family: Transfer RNA (tRNA) molecules are approximately 80 nucleotides in length. Their secondary structure includes four short double-helical elements and three loops (D, anti-codon, and T loops). Lineage: Eukaryota; Fungi; Basidiomycota; Pucciniomycetes; Pucciniales; Phakopsoraceae. The record is from RNAcentral.